UCUUAGUGCAUUCUACUUACAAGGAUAAGGCCUGUAAAUCUGAUGAUGGCGACACCACUUCGUACACCAGUCGCAGUUUCGAGUUCCGUGAAGAUCCCUCCUUCUGGAAAGACCACAAUGUUCAGGUAUCUAAUUUUUUUUGUUUUUGUUUUUGUUUUUGUUUUUGUUUUUGUUUUUAUUUUUAUUUUUUAAAUCUAAUUGUUUUUUUUAAUAUGUUAGUUUUGAAUAUUCUGUAUUUGUCGGCAUACAUUGGUUUAGCAGUGAGGCUAUGAGCUUAAUGCACUUCAUAACUUGAUUGACGGGAUGUAAGCUAAUUUACUUCCACUUGCACAAGGCAACGUGCAGGUUGUACGUUUAGCACCAAUUGUUGUACCUCAAUCUGGUUGCAUGAAACUUUUUUAUAUUCCAGUUAUGAAAUUAUUGGGACA
Molecule: long non-coding RNA, 428 nt
Filed under: Olea europaea (common olive)
Lineage: Eukaryota; Viridiplantae; Streptophyta; Magnoliopsida; Lamiales; Oleaceae
Description: long non-coding RNA (OEUR_LNC014259)
Source: RNAcentral